UGUUGAGUGAGUGCAACAUACAGACAAUAUAACUUUUAUAAGUAUAUGUAUCAUUAGAGUAAAAUGUGCUAAUAUCUGUACCCGUGACGAAGGUAAAUCUUAUAAAAAACCUUUCUGUAAAUGGUUUUCUUCGGGUCUAGACUCACCAAACUGACAACAAAGAACCAAAAGAUGCACUUGAACAUUCUGCAAAGACGACACACGACAGCCAACUAGCCUGUACGUUCUGCGCCUGCAUCAGAGGAAAUACCUCUCCAUACCAUCAGGUAACAGUAGUUUGUUGUCGUCAUGCAAAGAGGGAAGACUCUGGACUGAGGUUAAAAAUCUGUUGUUAUCAUACAGUAUUGUUUUCUGACACCACUCCCGCUAACAGUGCCACUUUUAAUCAAGAAUAUGUCUGAUCAAAAGCUGCAAGUUGAAGAGAAAAAGACAGCUGCAUGGACGAUUCUACAGACUCAGUCGGACAAAAAGCCGCCAACAAGUGCUUGAUGUGCAGCACAGUACUGAUUGUUCUGAGAAAAUGCCCAUGCACCACUAUGUGCUCUCAGCGCUGCCAGCACAACCAAGAGCAGGAGAAAAGACGGAGAGAGCGAGGGAGAGACGGAGCCGUGUAGAGUGUCUUCCGCCAAGGUCAAACUACAAUACAGCAAUCUAAUUAAGAGUAUCAGAGAGUUUCCUGUAUAGGGUCAACCUCCCCGUUGUGCUCGCAGGCUCAUGUUGUCCAUUAUGCAUUACAUCAUGUACUCCUACAUGUAAAUGAUGGAUGUGAUGCUGUGAUCUUCCUGUCCACGUUCUUUUUAAUUGAUAAGAGUGUGUAUAGAAAAAGAGUUGUAGCGCCGUUGUCUCUCUGUUUGAGCAGCGGCGUGUACGCGUUGAUUACUGCUCAGGUGCCGCCUGUGAUUUGUUGCAGAGUACAUCGUUGUACCCAGAGGAUACAUCGCAAUAACCUUUGAAAUACUCUCAUUCUUCCUCUAGCGCCCCCUAACGGGCUUAACAUUUCAGUUUUUUAGUGAAAUGACAACGAUUGAAUUGAUCACCAUGACAAUUAAUACUAGCAAUCAAGGUCCCCAGAGGAUGAUCCCAUGACUUCUUUAAUCGAGUGCCACCGGCUCACAAUUGUUACUGAUCUAGUAAAAUAUCUAAACGACUGUCACAUGGAUUGAGAUACAAGUUUGUACAGACAUUCAUGGCUCCCAGAGGAUGCAUUGUAAGAACUUUGGUGAUGCCCAGACAUUUCCUCAAAGGCCAGUUUUGUUUUUAGUGAAUCGUCUUGACAUCUACUGAAUGGAUUGCAAUGGAAAUUUCCACUGGUAUUCUUGGUCCCAAGAGGAUGAUCCAAUGAUUUUAUUGAGUGCUACAGCUCACACUUGUAAAUUAACCAGUAAGAUAUCUCAGCAGAUCUCUAUCAGAGGGAUUGGGAUUCAUUUUUGUGCAGACAUUCCCAGAGGAUGAAUCUUACUGACUUUUUCUCUGUCACCAUUAAACAUUCACAUUUGAAAUACAGAUGCAGUGAAUGUUCCCCUCAGGAUGAAUUGUAAUAACUUUGGUGAUGCCCUGACACUUCCUCAAGUGCCACCACAAGGUUAACAGUUGUGUUUUUAUUUUAACUAUUGAAUAGACUGCAAUG
Sparus aurata (gilthead seabream) is the source of this 1627-nucleotide long non-coding RNA. The record is from Ensembl. NCBI's taxonomy places the organism in Eukaryota, Metazoa, Chordata, Actinopteri, Spariformes, Sparidae.